This 450-nucleotide ribosomal RNA is filed under the name uncultured bacterium. RNAcentral's name for it is "bacterial SSU rRNA". It matches the Rfam family "Bacterial small subunit ribosomal RNA", at positions 29 to 526 of the family's 1533-position model. The record is from RNAcentral.
AACGAACGCUGGCGGCAGGCCUAACACAUGCAAGUCGAGCGCCCCGCAAGGGGAGCGGCAGACGGGUGAGUAACGCGUGGGAAUCUACCUAAUGGUACGGAAUAGCCCCGGGAAACUUGGAGUAAUACCGUAUAAGCCCGCAAGGGGAAAGAUUUAUCGCCAUUAGAUGAGCCCGCGUUGGAUUAGCUAGUUGGUGGGGUAACGGCCCACCAAGGCGACGAUCCAUAGCUGGUCUGAGAGGAUGAUCAGCCACACUGGGACUGAGACACGGCCCAGACUCCUACGGGAGGCAGCAGUGGGGAAUAUUGGACAAUGGGCGAAAGCCUGAUCCAGCCAUGCCGCGUGAGUGACGAAGGUCUUCGGAUUGUAAAGCUCUUUUGGCGGGGAAGAUAAUGACGGUACCCGCAGAAUAAGCCCCGGCUAACUUCGUGCCAGCCGCCGCAGUAAAAC